UAUAUACACUGGAUAUACAAGAAGGGGCCGUCUCUUGUCACACAUUAUGUCAAGGAACUUACAAAUGUACCAGCCUGAAACUGGAACAAGUAAGAUCCAGUUCCACGAUGAACUCCCUAUGACCCAAACUUUCAUUAUUAUAUUAAAGUCCCCAUCUCCACAAGGAGACUGGCUGCCAUUUCUUGAACAGAUGACAUGUGAGGUGACAUGUGAAGGGUCAUGAUGGAGCUGACGUGCUGGUUCUUCCUGGUCAUGCUCUGAGACACUGAGCAAACCUCUCCCCCCCCUCCUCAAAAAGGGAAGCCUAAUUGUCAGGACAACAUGUUUUGUGGAUCUACCCCCAGUGCUCACCAUACUUGAUCCUAGAGGACAUCUUGUGAUGAGGAUCAAAAUCUAUAGUAAUAAAUCUGCUAAUAUAAUGGCAAGAAGAGAAUAAAUUAAU
Talpa occidentalis (Iberian mole) is the source of this 442-nucleotide long non-coding RNA. RefSeq lists it as uncharacterized. The transcript has 3 exons. NCBI's taxonomy places the organism in Eukaryota, Metazoa, Chordata, Mammalia, Eulipotyphla, Talpidae. The record is from RefSeq and is a predicted model, not a curated record.